AAUGUAAAGGAGGGAAUUGAGUUUCAGAAACCACAGCCAAGGGAACGGGCUUGGUGGAAUCAGCAGGGAAAGAAGACCCUGUUGAGCUUGACUCUAGUCUGGCGCUGUGAAGAGACAUGAGAGGUGUAGAAUAAGUGGGAGGCCACUGCCCGCGGUCGCGCGGGUCACCCCUGCUGUGCCGCGGCCCCGGCCGCCGGUGAAAUACCACUACUCUGAUCGUUUUUUCACUUACCCGGUGAGGCGGGGGGGCGAGCACUGAGGGGCUCUCGCUUCUGGCGCCAAGCGCCCGGCGCGACCCGCUCCAGGGACAGCGUCAGGUGGGGAGUUUGACUGGGGCGGUACACCUGUCAAAACGUAACGCAGGUGUCCUAAGGCGAGCUCAGGGAGGCCAGAAACCUCCCGUGGAGCAGAAGGGCAAAAGCUCGCUUGAUCUUGAUUUUCAGUACGAAUACAGACCGUGAAAGCGGGGCCU
Molecule: non-coding RNA, 472 nt
Filed under: Callipepla squamata (scaled quail)
Lineage: Eukaryota; Metazoa; Chordata; Aves; Galliformes; Odontophoridae
Description: Eukaryotic large subunit ribosomal RNA
Rfam family: Eukaryotic large subunit ribosomal RNA
Source: Rfam by way of RNAcentral